This 486-nucleotide ribosomal RNA is filed under the name uncultured bacterium. Its description in RNAcentral is "partial 16S ribosomal RNA". It matches the Rfam family "Bacterial small subunit ribosomal RNA", at positions 30 to 507 of the family's 1533-position model. The record is from RNAcentral.
AUUGAACGCUGGCGGCAUGCCUUACACAUGCAAGUCGAACGGCAGCACGGGUGCUUGCACCUGGUGGCGAGUGGCGAACGGGUGAGAAAUACAUCGGAACAUGUCCUGUAGUGGGGGAUAGCCCGGCGAAAGCCGGAUUAAUACCGCAUACGAUCUACGGAUGAAAGCGGGGGCCCUUCGGGCCUCGCGCUAUAGGGUUGGCCGAUGGCUGAUUAGCUAGUUGGUGGGGUAAAGGCCUACCAAGGCGACGAUCAGUAGCUGGUCUGAGAGGACGACCAGCCACACUGGGACUGAGACACGGCCCAGACUCCUACGGGAGGCAGCAGUGGGGAAUUUUGGACAAUGGGCGAAAGCCUGAUCCAGCAAUGCCGCGUGUGUGAAGAAGGCCUUCGGGUUGUAAAGCACUUUUGUCCGGAAAGAAAUCCUUGGCCCUAAUACGGUCGGGGGAUGACGGUACCGGAAGAAUAAGCACCGGCUAACUACGUG